CCUACGGGAGGCAGCAGUGGGGAAUAUUGGACAAUGGGCGAAAGCCUGAUCCAGCAAUGCCGCGUGAGUGAUGAAGGCCUUAGGGUCGUAAAGCUCUUUUACCAGGGAUGAUAAUGACAGUACCUGGAGAAUAAGCUCCGGCUAACUCCGUGCCAGCAGCCGCGGUAAUACGGAGGGAGCUAGCGUUGUUCGGAAUUACUGGGCGUAAAGCGUGCGUAGGCGGUUAUUCAAGUCAGAGGUGAAAGCCCGGGGCUCAACCCCGGAACGGCCUUUGAAACUAGAUAACUAGAAUCUUGGAGAGGUCAGUGGAAUUCCGAGUGUAGAGGUGAAAUUCGUAGAUAUUCGGAAGAACACCAGUGGCGAAGGCGACUGACUGGACAAGUAUUGACGCUGAGGUACGAAAGCGUGGGGAGCAAACAGGAUUAGAUACCCUGGUAGUCCACGCCGUAAACGAUGAUAACUAGCUGUCCGGACACUUGGUGUUUGGGUGGCGCAGCUAACGCAUUAAGUUAUCCGCCUGGGGAGUACGGUCGCAAGAUUAAAACUCAAAGAUAGUAGACGUGUGAGUUAGNGACGAGACGACGAGGAGGAG
RNAcentral lists this ribosomal RNA (592 nucleotides) under uncultured bacterium. RNAcentral describes it as "bacterial SSU rRNA". It matches the Rfam family "Bacterial small subunit ribosomal RNA", at positions 338 to 950 of the family's 1533-position model. The record is from RNAcentral.